GACGAACGCUGGCGGCGUGCUUAACACAUGCAAGUCGAACGGAAAGGCCCUGCUUUUGUGGGGUGCUCGAGUGGCGAACGGGUGAGUAACACGUGAGUAACCUGCCCUUGACUUUGGGAUAACUUCAGGAAACUGGGGCUAAUACCGGAUAGGAGCUCCUGCUGCAUGGUGGGGGUUGGAAAGUUUCGGCGGUUGGGGAUGGACUCGCGGCUUAUCAGCUUGUUGGUGGGGUAGUGGCUUACCAAGGCUUUGACGGGUAGCCGGCCUGAGAGGGUGACCGGCCACAUUGGGACUGAGAUACGGCCCAGACUCCUACGGGAGGCAGCAGUGGGGAAUAUUGCACAAUGGGCGGAAGCCUGAUGCAGCAACUCCGCGUGCGGGAUGACGGCCUUCGGGUUGUAACCCGCUUUCGCCUGUGACGAAGCGUGAGUGACGGUAAUGGGUAAAGAAGCACCGGCUAACUACGUG
RNAcentral lists this ribosomal RNA (468 nucleotides) under uncultured bacterium. Its description in RNAcentral is "partial 16S ribosomal RNA". It matches the Rfam family "Bacterial small subunit ribosomal RNA", at positions 28 to 507 of the family's 1533-position model. The record is from RNAcentral.